CGAACGCUGGCGGCAGGCUUAACACAUGCAAGUCGAGCGGGCGUAGCAAUACGUCAGCGGCAGACGGGUGAGUAACGCGUGGGAACAUACCUCUUGGUUCGGAACAACACAGGGAAACUUGUGCUAAUACCGGAUAAGCCCUUACGGGGAAAGAUUUAUCGCCGAGAGAUUGGCCCGCGUCUGAUUAGCUAGUUGGUAGGGUAAUGGCCUACCAAGGCGACGAUCAGUAGCUGGUCUGAGAGGAUGAUCAGCCACAUUGGGACUGAGACACGGCCCAAACUCCUACGGGAGGCAGCAGUGGGGAAUAUUGGACAAUGGGGGCAACCCUGAUCCAGCCAUGCCGCGUGAGUGAUGAAGGCCCUAGGGUUGUAAAGCUCUUUUGUGCGGGAAGAUAAUGCCGGU
RNAcentral lists this ribosomal RNA (402 nucleotides) under bacterium Ellin5019. Its description in RNAcentral is "bacterial SSU rRNA". It matches the Rfam family "Bacterial small subunit ribosomal RNA", at positions 30 to 458 of the family's 1533-position model. Lineage: Bacteria; Pseudomonadati; Pseudomonadota; Alphaproteobacteria; Hyphomicrobiales; Nitrobacteraceae. The record is from RNAcentral.